UGGAAGAAAUGUGAUUCUACAUAAAAAUUUGUCUUUUGGAUGAUUAAGUAAACUUUUUGGUAUAAUUGAUGAAGUAAAUUGUAACUUGAAAUGAUUUAUUAUUUGGGUUUCUAGGAAAAUCAAAAACUUUCACCGUGAUAAGACUUUUGUAUCUUCUCGAAUUCCCCUUCUAAUCGGCAUUGGGGGAAUUCAAAGAAAAUACUCGA
Molecule: unclassified non-coding RNA, 206 nt
Filed under: Hevea brasiliensis (rubber tree)
Lineage: Eukaryota; Viridiplantae; Streptophyta; Magnoliopsida; Malpighiales; Euphorbiaceae
Source: RNAcentral